ACCUGGUUGAUCCUGCCAGUAGUCAUAUGCUUGUCUCAAAGAUUAAGCCAUGCAUGUCUCAGUGCACGCCUUUAUACGGUGAAACCGCGAAUGGCUCAUUAAAUCAGCUAUGGUUUACUGGACCGUACCCGUUAAAUGGAUAACUGUAAUAACUCUAGAGCUAAUACAUGCAACUAUGCCCUGAACCGAAAGGCAAGGGGUGCACUUAUUAGAUCAGAAGCUAACCGGGCGUCGGUCGCAAGGCCGGCGUCUGUUGUCGUUCUGGUGACUCUGGAUAAUUGUUACAGAUCGCAGUCGGCCAUGAGUCGGCGACGGGUCCUCCAAAUGUCUGCCCUAUCAACUUUCGAUGGUAGGUGACCUGCCUACCAUGGUGAUAACGGGUAACGGGGAAUCAGGGUUCGAUUCCGGAGAGGGAGCCUGAGAAACGGCUACCACUUCCAAGGGAGGCAGCAGGCGCGCAAAUUACCCACUCCCAGCACGGGGAGGUGGUGACGAAAAAUACCGAUGCGGGACUCCCAAACGAGGCUCCGUAAUCGGAAUGAGUCAACUAUAAAUCCUUUAACGAGGAUCAAUUGGAGGGCAAGUCUGGUGCCAGCAGCCGCGGUAACUCCAGCUCCAAUAGCGUAUAUUAAAGUUGCUGCAGUUAAAAAGCUCGUAGUUGGAUCUCGGUAUUAUUGUUGCCUGCUGGCUUUAGAGGCACUAGCUGGCCUAGCGGUGCAUGGGUGAGCCUGUGCAGCGUGGGGUCGGCGGCCUUGGGUCGGCGUGGCGGCGGUGAUACCUUUCAGCCAUGUCUGUGGUGCAAUAUCCACAGGUGUAGGCGAGUGCCAGGCGGUGCCCUGCAACUGUGGGGUUCGUCGGCUUGUCUGCAUGCCUACGGAUGCCCUUUAAAAGGUGUCUGUGGGCGGAUGGCACGUUUACUUUGAACAAAUUUGAGUGCUCAAACCAGGCCGAUGCUGCCUGAAAAGUUUUGCAUGGAAUAAUGGAAUAGGACUUCGGUUCUAUUUCGUUGGUUUUCGGAUCCGAAGUAAUGAUCAAAAGAGACAGGCGGGGACGUUUGUAUGGCUGCGCUAGAGGUGAAAUUCUUGGACCGUAGCCAGACAAACUAAAGCGAAAGCAUUCGUCAAGCAUGUUUUCAUUGGCCAUGAGCGAAAGUCAGAGGCUCGAAGACGAUCAGAUACCGUCCUAGUUCUGACCAUAAACGAUGCCAACUGACGAUCCGUGAUGGUAGCAUUCAAACCUUCCUCACGGGCAGUCCCCGGGAAACCAUUAAGUCUUUGGGUUCCGGGGGAAGUAUGGUUGCAAAGCUGAAACUUAAAGGAAUUGACGGAAGGGCACCACCAGGAGUGGAGCCUGCGGCUUAAUUUGACUCAACACGGGAAAACUCACCCGGGCCGGACACUAUGAGGAUUGACAGAUUGAAAGCUCUUUCUUGAUUUGGUGGUUGGUGGUGCAUGGCCGUUCUUAGUUGGUGGAGCGAUUUGUCUGGUUAAUUCCGAUAACGAACGAGACUCCAGCCUGCUAAUUAGUUCUCCUGUCCACUGUACUUGUGCAGGCGGGCGCUCGCCAAAUCUGCCCUUCACGGUUGACCCGGUGGUGCGUGUGGUGGUCUUGUUGUUGUUGUUGUUGUUGGUCGCUUAGCUGCUGUUGCUGCUGCUGCUGCUGCUGCUGCUGCCGUGUAGUGUUGCCCGCAAGGACAGCGCUUGGUGGCGGUGGCGGUGGCGGUGGCUGUGGUGGUGGUGGUUGGCUGAUGACGACGAGGAUGAUGAUCAUCAAGCGUGUCCGCUUGGCUGGCUUGGGUGGAUAGAGCAGUGUCUGCUUCCGAGUACGGCGCGGGUGUCUACUUCUUAGAGGGACAAGCGGGAGAAGCCGCACGAAAUUGAGCAAUAACAGGUCUGUGAUGCCCUUAGAUGUCCGGGGCCGCACGCGCGCUACAAUGACGGUGGCAACGAGUCUGACUUUCUGGCCCGAAAGGGUUGGGUAAACUGGUCAAUCACCGUCAUGACAGGGAUCGGGGCUUGGAAUUGUUCCCCGUGAACGAGGAAUUCCUAGUAAGUGCAAGUCAUAAGCUUGCGCUGAUUACGUCCCUGCCCUUUGUACACACCGCCCGUCGCUACUACCGAUUGAAUGGUUUAGUAAGGUCCUUGGAUUGGCGCCAUUGCAGCCGCAGGGCUCAGGCGGUGCUGAGAAGACGACCGAACUUGAUCAUUUAGAGGAAGUAAAAGUCGUAACAAGGUUUCCGUAGGUGAACCUGCGGAAGGAUCAUUA
Molecule: ribosomal RNA, 2265 nt
Filed under: Schyzocotyle acheilognathi
Lineage: Eukaryota; Metazoa; Platyhelminthes; Cestoda; Bothriocephalidea; Bothriocephalidae
Description: SSU rRNA
Rfam family: Eukaryotic small subunit ribosomal RNA
Source: RNAcentral